CCUACGGGUGGCAGCAGUAAGGAAUAUUGGUCAAUGGACGCAAGUCUGAACCAGCCAUGCCGCGUGGAGGAUGAAGGUCCUCUGGAUUGUAAACUUCUUUUAUCUGGGAAGAAAUCCACAUUUUCUAAUGUGGUUGACGGUACCAGAUGAAUAAGCACCGGCUAACUCCGUGCCAGCAGCCGCGGUAAUACGGAGGGUGCAAGCGUUAUCCGGAUUCACUGGGUUUAAAGGGUGCGUAGGCGGGCAGAUAAGUCAGUGGUGAAAUCUCUGGGCUUAACCCAGAAACUGCCGUUGAUACUAUUUGUCUUGAAUAUCAUGGAGGUAAGCGGAAUAUGUCAUGUAGCGGUGAAAUGCUUAGAUAUGACAUAGAACACCGAUAGCGAAGGCAGCUUACUACAUGUUAAUUGACGCUGAGGCACGAAAGCGUGGGGAGCAAACAG
RNAcentral lists this ribosomal RNA (440 nucleotides) under uncultured bacterium. RNAcentral describes it as "bacterial SSU rRNA". It matches the Rfam family "Bacterial small subunit ribosomal RNA", at positions 338 to 775 of the family's 1533-position model. The record is from RNAcentral.